GCUGGUUUGCCCGAGUGGUCUAAGGGGGGUGACUUAAGAUCACCUGCAUUCCAAUGCGCGUGGGUUCGAACCCCACAGCCAGCA
This is a transfer RNA of Selaginella moellendorffii, 84 nucleotides long. It matches the Rfam family "tRNA". Rfam says of the family: Transfer RNA (tRNA) molecules are approximately 80 nucleotides in length. The record is from Rfam. NCBI's taxonomy places the organism in Eukaryota, Viridiplantae, Streptophyta, Lycopodiopsida, Selaginellales, Selaginellaceae.